AUUGAACGCUGGCGGCAUGCUUUACACAUGCAAAUCGAACGGUAACAGGCCUUCGGGUGCUGACGAGUGGCGAACGGGUGAGUAAUGCAUCGGAACGUACCCAGAGGUGGGGGAUAACGCAGCGAAAGCUGUGCUAAUACCGCAUGUGAUCUGAGGAUGAAAGCGGGGGACCGAGCAGCAAUGUUUGGCCUCGCGCCUUUGGAGCGGCCGAUGUCGGAUUAGCUAGUUGGUGGGGUAAAGGCCUACCAAGGCGACGAUCCGUAGCUGGUCUGAGAGGACGACCAGCCACACUGGGACUGAGACACGGCCCAGACUCCUACGGGAGGCAGCAGUGGGGAAUUUUGGACAAUGGGCGCAAGCCUGAUCCAGCAAUGCCGCGUGCGGGAAGAAGGCCUUCGGGUUGUAAACCGCUUUUGGCAGGAACGAAACGGUGUCCGCUAAUACCGGGCGCUAAUGACGGUACCUGCAGAAUAAGCACCGGCUAACUACGUG
This 492-nucleotide ribosomal RNA is filed under the name uncultured bacterium. RNAcentral describes it as "partial 16S ribosomal RNA". It matches the Rfam family "Bacterial small subunit ribosomal RNA", at positions 29 to 507 of the family's 1533-position model. The record is from RNAcentral.